GCCUUCUCUGUCCCAUACAGUAGCCACAUAAUUUGGCUCAGUAUUGCUGGAGCUCUUCUCGUGGUGUUCUUUGCUGGUCUACUUUGGUGCCUAAUGUGUAGACAAAGGAAAUCAGAAGGGAACAAACCUCCCAGAGCAAAUAACAAUGAAAUGCAGGAUUUGCCAGCAGGAAAAGGGAGCAUCGUUUAUGCAACACUGUCAGACAUUCAAAGCAACAAGGAAGCUGCCCAUUGUUCUAAUCAAUAUCAAACUGUGUAUGCAGAAGUGCAAAUUCAAAGCAAAUCG
Long non-coding RNA from Amblyraja radiata (thorny skate), 285 nucleotides. RefSeq lists it as uncharacterized. The record is from RefSeq and is a predicted model, not a curated record. The transcript is spliced from 3 exons. NCBI's taxonomy places the organism in Eukaryota, Metazoa, Chordata, Chondrichthyes, Rajiformes, Rajidae.